This 605-nucleotide ribosomal RNA is filed under the name uncultured bacterium. RNAcentral's name for it is "bacterial SSU rRNA". It matches the Rfam family "Bacterial small subunit ribosomal RNA", at positions 888 to 1498 of the family's 1533-position model. The record is from RNAcentral.
GCAAGAUUAAAACUCAAAGGAAUGGACGGGGACCCGCACAAGUGGUGGAGCAUGUGGUUUAAUUCGAAGAUACGCGAAGAACCUUACCUAGCCUUGACAUUGAUAGAAUCUUCCAGAGAUGGGGGAGUGCCUUUCGGGGAACUUGAAAACAGGUGCUGCACGGCUGUCGUCAGCUCGUGUCGUGAGAUGUUGGGUUAAGUCCCGCAACGAGCGCAACCCUCGUCAUUAGUUACUAACAGUUCGGCUGAGGACUCUAAUGAGACUGCCUUCGUAAGGAGGAGGAAGGUGAGGACGACGUCAAGUCAUCAUGGCCCUUACGGCUAGGGCGACACACGUGCUACAAUGGUUAGGACAAUGAGAAGCGAUACCGCGAGGUGGAGCAAAUCUAUAAACCUAAUCUCAGUUCGGAUUGUAGUCUGCAACUCGACUACAUGAAGCUGGAAUCACUAGUAAUCGUAGAUCAGCCAUGCUACGGUGAAUACGUUCCCGGGUCUUGUACUCACCGCCCGUCACACCAUGGGAGUUGAUUUCACCCGAAGCGGGGAAGCUAAACUGGCUACCCUCCACGGUGGAAUUAGCGACUGGGGUGAAGUCGUAACAAGGUA